This 177-nucleotide ribosomal RNA is filed under the name Triticum aestivum (bread wheat). RNAcentral's name for it is "partial small subunit ribosomal RNA". Lineage: Eukaryota; Viridiplantae; Streptophyta; Magnoliopsida; Poales; Poaceae. The record is from RNAcentral.
AUGAAGAUCAUGAGCUGUCCCAUAAUGAAAUUGCCAGUAGUCGCGAAUAUCUCCUUCUUCCCUAAUCCAAGAUUGGAGAAAGAAGAUCUAAGAGGGACCUAUGGAGAAUGUAGUUAGAAAUCCAUAAUAGAGUUCGACCACAACGACCAAAUUAAUUAUCCUCAUCGAGAAAAAUAG